Molecule: long non-coding RNA, 785 nt
Filed under: Fukomys damarensis (Damara mole-rat)
Lineage: Eukaryota; Metazoa; Chordata; Mammalia; Rodentia; Bathyergidae
Description: lncRNA (ENSFDAG00000031407.1)
Source: RNAcentral
CUGCAGUGGCCUCAGGGACCUUGUGCAGUCAUGACUCCUGGGCCUCCCAGAGUGCAGCCAUGCAGGUGAGAUUUGGGAAAGCACCAGGUGCCUCUGCUGCCGUGACUCUGGGAGCAGGUGCUGGGCCAUCCUGCAGGCCCCUUCCACAUUGUUUGCAGCCUGCAGUUCCCAGAUUGUCUGUGUUUGCCUUGGUCUGCCAGCCCCUCCUCCCCAGAGCCAAGGUCCAGUCCUGACUCCUCAGCCCAUAGAGGAGCCCACUGGGGAUGGCUCUCCCUCUCUAGGGAGCUGCUCCUCUUUCUGCCCACGCUGCUGUUAGGAAUCCAAAUCAAAAUUCUGGGGCUAGGAGAGACCUCAGGGACCAUGGCCUUUGCUUAGCCUCCUUGUUAGACUGGGUUUUCCAGGAGAGAAGGUGACAGAGACCCAUCCAUCUUCAUGUCCUCAUGGCCCAUGUGACCCCAGGGGGUCUUUAUUGCUUGGCUGCUCCUUACCCCGUCUCAUCAAAAAUGGAUUAUGGAUACGUAUGCCAGUUUACAACCCUCCAUGGCUGCCCUCUGGCCAGACCUGCCUGGCCUCAAGACGUUCUUCUCCAUCCAUGCAUGCCUAGGCCUCCUGCUGCAGCUCAAGCCUGUAUCCUCCUUGAUUCUCCCCCACCCUGGUGGCGCCUUCCAGUGAGCAGGUUCAAAGAAUGCAGCACCAGAGCACCUCAGCACUGUCCUGCCAUGGCCUGGAUCUUUAGAGUGUGGUCCCUGGACUGGAAGCUUCAGCAUCAUCAUGGGGCUGUUUAG